ACAAUACUUGGAGGAGCUUGCUCUAAACAGAAAGUGCUCAUCAUAAGGGAGGAGCCUGGGCAGUUUUCUGCAGUGCAGGCCACAGCCCACGAAGUAGCACAUUCGCUAGGAUCUAAUCACGAUGGCUCCGGCAUAUCAAGGGGGUGUCCUGCCAAUGAGAAUUUUCUCAUGUACCCGUACGCCUUUCCACCUACUACGAAAGAGUUCUCGAAAUGCACGAAGAACGCCGUUGUAAGGUUUCUAGAGUUGGAGCUGGCCAAGUGUUUGUUUACUGACUCAAGCAGGCGCAUACAUAUAUAGUCAAUGGAAACAUAUUAGGAACUAAGACAGCGGACGAACGGAAUAUCACGAGAAACGAAGACGCAAAUCGGGAUUGUUCUCUCCGAGCAACGACAACUUCUUUAAUUAAAGCAAUAUUCCCACGUAUAA
RNAcentral lists this long non-coding RNA (429 nucleotides) under Dermacentor andersoni. RNAcentral describes it as "uncharacterized LOC126537909". The record is from RNAcentral. Lineage: Eukaryota; Metazoa; Arthropoda; Arachnida; Ixodida; Ixodidae.